UACUUGAUCACUCUGCUGUGCGCGGCGAU
This 29-nucleotide non-coding RNA is filed under the name Bombyx mori (domestic silkworm). The record is from RNAcentral. Lineage: Eukaryota; Metazoa; Arthropoda; Insecta; Lepidoptera; Bombycidae.